GGCAGAGAUGACUAAUGCUUUAUUCUGACACCUUGUAUGAGAAGAGCGUUUGCUCUUUUAUGAGCACAUAAAGCAACUCUCUGAGCC
RNAcentral lists this small nucleolar RNA (87 nucleotides) under Olea europaea subsp. europaea. RNAcentral describes it as "Small nucleolar RNA snoR1". It matches the Rfam family "Small nucleolar RNA snoR1". Rfam says of the family: snoR1 is a member of the C/D class of snoRNA which contain the C (UGAUGA) and D (CUGA) box motifs. Most of the members of the box C/D family function in directing site-specific 2'-O-methylation of substrate RNAs. Lineage: Eukaryota; Viridiplantae; Streptophyta; Magnoliopsida; Lamiales; Oleaceae. The record is from Rfam by way of RNAcentral.